This 252-nucleotide ribosomal RNA is filed under the name uncultured bacterium. Its description in RNAcentral is "partial 16S ribosomal RNA". It matches the Rfam family "Bacterial small subunit ribosomal RNA", at positions 334 to 582 of the family's 1533-position model. The record is from RNAcentral.
GUGUGCCUACGGGACGCAGCAGUGAGGAAUAUUGGUCAAUGGCCGAGAGGCUGAACCAGCCAAGUCGCGUGAGGGAAGACGGCCCUACGGGUUGUAAACCUCUUUUGUCGGGGAGCAAAGCGAGUCACGUGUGACUCAUUGAGAGUACCCGAAGAAAAAGCAUCGGCUAACUCCGUGGCAGCAGCCGCGGUAAUACGGAGGAUGCGAGCGUUAGCCGGAUUUAUUGGGGUUAAAGGGUGCGCAGGCGGUCUG